RNAcentral lists this ribosomal RNA (279 nucleotides) under uncultured bacterium. RNAcentral describes it as "partial 16S ribosomal RNA". It matches the Rfam family "Bacterial small subunit ribosomal RNA", at positions 506 to 784 of the family's 1533-position model. The record is from RNAcentral.
UGCCAGCCGCCGCGGUAAUACGGAGGGUGCAAGCGUUGUUCGGAAUUAUUGGGCGUAAAGCGCGUGUAGGCGGUUCGUUAAGUCUGAUGUGAAAGCCCGGGGCUCAACCCCGGACGUGCAUUCGAAACCCCUGGACUUGAGUAUGGGAGAGGAGGGCGGAAUUCCUGGUGUAAAGGUGAAAUUCGUAGAUAUCAGGAGGAACACCGAUGGCGAAGGCAUCUCUCUGGACCGAUACUGACGCUGAGGCGCGAAGGCGUGGGUAGCGAACAGGAUUAGAUA